CACCAUUUGGUAAUUAAUGCCUAGAUUGUUAGGGAUUCUAAUUGAAUUAAUUUUUGGAAUCAAGUCGUCGUGAACCUGCAAAACAAAUUGAUCUAAAAUAGGGAGGGAAAUGUUAGUGUUCGCCAACGCCUCCUCAAUUUUAACCUCCUCUUCAUGCAAGUUCACUCCCAACUCCUUUUCGAUCUCCAAAGACUCUACUUCAUUUUCAUCCCAUGACUCCACUUCUAUUUUAACCACUUCGCCCCUUUCACUUUCUAUUUUCUUUUCACUUUCUUGUGGCUCAUAUUCUUUUUUCUCACAAUCAACCACUCCGCUAAUUUCUCUUUUACUCUCUUGUUCCUUCAGAUGAUUAAUUUGAGAUUUAAGAAUGUCGAGAAUCUCGAAAAAUUCCUGUUUAUAAUUCAACCCAACACUCUUACUUGAUGUACUACCCGCACACUUAGCAAAAGAUGUUUUCUU
Molecule: long non-coding RNA, 459 nt
Filed under: Olea europaea subsp. europaea
Lineage: Eukaryota; Viridiplantae; Streptophyta; Magnoliopsida; Lamiales; Oleaceae
Source: RNAcentral